GCUAUUGAGCGAAAAAUAAGGUAAAGGAUACUAUAAUCUCUAUCUGUAAGAAAAAGUUUUGACAUACAAAUCUGUUGCAAAUUAUUGAGGGGUAAAGCUUAGUUUCAUAUAUGAAGCUAUGGGGGGGAGUUAUUAAGUAGAGAUUAAGACAAGACUGACAUCACAUAGAAUCAAUUUGGUUUCAUGUCCAUGAAAGCUAAAUAUUUCUUACAAUGAUUGAUGGAAAAUUCUUCGAAGAAAACACAUACUAGUAAGCUAUAGUCCAUAGAAAGGUUUCGUGGAAGGCUCUCAAGACUAAAGGAGUUUGUAGUGUGUACAUUCUAGUGAUCAAAGAUUCGGGGUCAUGAACUAGCAUAUGACAUGCAACUUAAUAAUUUUAGCAUUUGUCAAAUGAAUUAUUUUUUUUUUUUGAGAAGGAGGAAUAAAUAAGGAAGGAUUGUAUAAUUAUUUUGGAUUACUUAGUUAAUAAAAAUAAUAGAAAUUUUUAACCUAGGGUCACUCAACUCAACCACCCUUAUUGAACCCACAAACAUCAAAGCCUGCAAGAACGCGGAAUGUCUUUCUUCAGUGCCUUCCCG
RNAcentral lists this long non-coding RNA (578 nucleotides) under Cicer arietinum (chickpea). RNAcentral's name for it is "long non-coding RNA (CARI_LNC002311)". Lineage: Eukaryota; Viridiplantae; Streptophyta; Magnoliopsida; Fabales; Fabaceae. The record is from RNAcentral.